This 70-nucleotide transfer RNA is filed under the name Pristipomoides filamentosus (crimson jobfish). RNAcentral's name for it is "tRNA-Pro". It matches the Rfam family "tRNA". Rfam says of the family: Transfer RNA (tRNA) molecules are approximately 80 nucleotides in length. Their secondary structure includes four short double-helical elements and three loops (D, anti-codon, and T loops). Lineage: Eukaryota; Metazoa; Chordata; Actinopteri; Lutjaniformes; Lutjanidae. The record is from RNAcentral.
CAAAGAGUAGUUUAAUUAAGAAUACUAGCUUUGGGAGUUAGUGGUAGAGGUUAAAAUCCUUUCUCUUUGA